GCUGGCGGCAUGCCUCAUACAUGCAAGUCGAACGAGGUCUUCGGACCUAGUGGCGCACGGGUGAGUAACAUGUGGGAAUCUACCUAAAGGUUCGGAAUAACUGCGGGAAACUGUAGCUAAUACCGGAUGUGUCUGCAAAGAGAAAGAUUUAUCGCCUUUAGAUGAGCCCGCACUAGAUUAGCUAGUUGGUGAGGUAAAUGCUCCACCAAGGCUACGAUCUAUAGCUGAUUUGAGAGGAUGAUCAGCCACACUGGGACUGAGACACGGCCCAGACUCCUACGGGAGGCAGCAGUAGGGAAUAUUGGACAAUGGGGGAAACCCUGAUCCAGCAAUGCCGCGUGAGUGAAGAAGGCCUUCGGGUUGUAAAACUCUUUCAUCAAUGAUGAUAAUGACAUUAGUUGAAGAAGAAGCUCCGGCUAACUUCGUGCCAGCAGCCGCGGUAAUACGAAGGGGGCUAGCGUUGUUCGGAAUCACUGGGCGUAAAGCGUAUGUAGGCGGAUCAAAAAGUUAGAUGUGAAAUCCCUGGGCUCAACCCAGGAACUGCAUUUAAAACUAGUGAUCUAGAAUUUGGUAAGGGUUAGUAGAAUUUCCAGUGUAGAGGUGAAAUUCGUAGAUAUUGGAAAGAAUACCAGAAGCGAAGGCGACUAACUAGGCCAUUUUUGACGCUGAGAUACGAAAGCGUGGGUAGCAAACAGGAUUAGAUACCCUGGUAGUCCACGCAGUAAACGAUGAGUGCUAGUCGCUGGUGCAAUAGUAUCAGUGUCGUAGCUAACGCAUUAAGCACUCCGCCUGGGAAGUACGGUCGCAAGAUAAACUAAAAGGAAUGCG
Molecule: ribosomal RNA, 828 nt
Filed under: alpha proteobacterium SCGC AAA298-F10
Lineage: Bacteria; Pseudomonadati; Pseudomonadota; Alphaproteobacteria
Description: SSU rRNA
Rfam family: Bacterial small subunit ribosomal RNA
Source: RNAcentral